RNAcentral lists this long non-coding RNA (37777 nucleotides) under Gossypium barbadense (sea-island cotton). RNAcentral describes it as "long non-coding RNA (GBAR_LNC015849)". The stretch from base 34081 to 34225 matches the Rfam family "MIR7502 microRNA precursor family". Lineage: Eukaryota; Viridiplantae; Streptophyta; Magnoliopsida; Malvales; Malvaceae. The record is from RNAcentral.
UAAGCUUGCACAUUUGGAAAGCUCACACCUUUCCUUUAAACUCCUCCUUCAGCUUAUUCAAGCUAGUUUGGGGAUCUUAUAAGUUUGAGCCGAUAUUAUCUUCUCUACAAGCAGUCCUUAAUGACUUGCUUGUGCUUUGACAGCUUCUUUCUUUUCAACAAGCAGGGGAAGCAAAAUCAAUGGUCCCGUAAGACAUAGGCUCAUGAUACCAAUUGUUGGUGCAAGAGGCAGCAACAAAAGAGAGAACAAGAGCACAGAACAUGAAGCAAGGUGUAAGAAGCAUUUUUACUUGCUCACAAAUGUGCAGCAAGGGAGCUAAUGGCUGAUAGCUCAUUCAGCUCAUUCAUUCAACUAGAAAAAACAUACAUUUAUAGUCAAAUACAUCACCAAAUAGUCAACUAACCCCACUAAUCAGCAUUGAGACUAUUAAAACAUUGCUUGUACACAUAAACAAGCCACCUAAACUAGUCAUUCAACACCUAAUGCAUCAAGUUGUCAUCAACUUGUCCAUUUUAAACUAGAUUAAUUAGAAUGAAACUAAAGAGAAACCUUGCUGUUACAGCAAGCAUAUGUGCUGCAGCAUGUCAUCAAGCUGCAUGCACUUCAACCACAAAAUGUAACAGCAGCAUGGUUGGCCAAUUUCCAAUACAGGUUCUUCCUGAAUUGUACGAUUCCUUUAUAUCUGCAAUACAGAAGAAGGGUAACAUAAGAAUAGCGCCGAAUAAAAUCAUGGCUGCUGCUCCACACCUGACUCCUGGUGCGCUUUUGAUUGGAGAUGCACUCAACAUGCGGCACGCUAUAACCGGAGGGGGAAUGACUGUUGCUCUGUCUGAUGUCGUAAUACUUAGGGAUCUUCUAAGACCCUUGCAUGAUCUAUCCGAUGCAUCCACCAUUUCAAAAUAUCUCGAAUCUUUUUAUACCCUGAGGAAGGUAUUGUAGUUUCAUGUUUUAUAUGCAUUUUGAAAGUGAAUGGCAAUGAUGAAAACGGUAUAAUUUUGCCCUUUAACUACAUGCAGCCAAUGUCAUCUACACUAAAUAUACUGGCUAAUGUCCUACAGAAGGUAUUCAGUGCCUCGUCCAAUCCAGCAAUGAAGAAUCUGCAGCACACCUUUUUGGGGUAUUUGAGACUUGGAGGGAUGUUUUCAUAUGGAGCAUCCGCUAUGCUCUGUGGUUUAUGCCCUUCUUCAUUAAGCUUAGCAUUUCAUUUCUUUUCCAUUGCAAUAUAUGGCGUUGGCCGAUUGUUACUUCCAUUUCCUUCUCCCAGGCGUUUGUGGGAUGGGGCUAAAUUCCUUUGGGUCAGUAUCUUUACCAAACAUUUAUAUAAUAACAUGAUAUAAAUAUAUAAGAUCUUAAAUAUGAUUAUUAUAUAGAAUCAUAUUAAUAAAAAUAUUUUCAUGUUUUUCAGAUGGCAUCAAGUGUUCUUCUCCCCUACAUAUACUCUGAAGGAACCAGACAAAUGUUCUUCCCUCUAACUGUGCCAGCAUAUUAUAGAACUCCCCCUGAAAAUAAGGACAAAAAAAACUUCAUGCAAUAAUUAGCAGCAUUUGUUGGAACAAUUCUAUGUUCAUAACACAAUCUCAUACAUCUGUUACUUGCAUUCUUAAGUAGGUCUUAAGACAAUUGGACGCAUGUGUAGAGACAAUGACGCAUCAAAGCUAAAAUAAGAAAAUAGAUAAGGUAAGUCUCGAGAGACAUUAAUUAUUAAUUGUUGUAUAUUGAUUUAAAUGUUUAUGGUAAGUAAAUAAGGUAAGUGUUAGCAUUUUUUAUAUUGAAUUGAAUGUAUGUGAAAUUGCGAUUUAUGUGAUAAUUGAGUAUUGGAUAAUUAUGGCAUUAGAAAAGUGAACUAAAACUCUGUUAACUGUAUCGGGCUGAGUUGGAUAUAGAUGGCAUGCCAUAGGAUUAGAAGAGUUUAGGGAUACUUCGACUUAGAGUCGAUGAGACACUGGGUGUCAAAUUAUUACUUCGGAUAAAUUCGAUGAAAUACUGGGUACCAAUUUACUUCUGCAUGGCCGAUGAGACAUUGUGUGUCAACUUAUUGCUUCGAAUUAUCCGAUGAGGCACUGGGUGCCAAACUGGUGUGUUUUGGUUGGAUUCGUGUAUCCGUCCGAGUCCGUGUCAUGUUAAUAGGGGUUACUGAAUAAAAUAGUGUUAUGAUUGAUAUUGAGUGGUGAUUUGAAAUAUGGUUAGAGACACAUGAUUUGUGUAUUUAUGAAUUGAAUAUGAAUGAACAAUAUUGUUGUUCAAAUGAUUUGUGUUCAUAUUGUGAAAAGCAAUCUGGGAUAGCAAAUGAUAAAAUUUGAAUGUGUUAUAAAUAUCUUAUUUAUGAAUUGAAUAAUUGUAUGGCUAUAGUUAUUGUAUGUUAUAUUAUUUUACUUUUAAGCAUUUGGAUUAUAAAAAUACCACUGAAUUUAUACUCAGCAUACGGUUUAUUUUCCGUGCGCAGGUUAGGUUAAAGUCAGAUUGUCGAUUCAGCAUCCAUCAACGAUCCCGAGCUUAAAACGUGGUGAUGUAUAUUUCUUUUUGUGUCGGCAUGUACCUAGGAUGUCUUAUGCUUGUCAUUUUGGGAAGUGAAUGUAAAUGAUGUUAUAAGAUGAUAUUGGUUACUUAUAUACAUAAUUAUACGUGUUAAGUUGAGGUUUAAUGUGGAAUGUUUAAGUUGAUGCAUAAGUGAAUGUGAUAUAGGCAAAUUUGGGUUGAAAUUGGUAUGAAUUUAGAAUUGGAUUAAUUGGUGUUUUAUUUGAUUGUUUUGAUAAUAUAUGUGAAGUACCUAUGAUGGUACAUUGGUUAGGAAACUAGGAUGAUUGUUUUGACAUGUUUUAAAGUGAUUGAACCAUUGGUUUUUUACUUGCUUGGUGUUCAAGGUUGCAGGGAAGGGUAAACUUGAUGUUUAAGGUUCAUUUUGUGUCCACACUGCCAGACACACGGGUGUGUGGCUGGACCGUGUGAGACGCACGGCUAACACAUAGGCGUGUGUCCCCUGUUUCUUUGAAAAUUUUUUAUGUUUUCGAAAAAAAUUCCUGGAGUACUAUUUGAUUUAGUCCCGAUUUGUUUCUAACACAUAUUUUAAGCCUCGAGGGCUCAUAAAAAGAACAAUGUGAUUAAAUUAUAUGUUGUGUAUGCUAGAUGAUUAUAUAAUGUUCAUAUUUGAUCUGAAAAGUCCGAUAUGCUCCGUAACCCUGUUUCGGUGACGGAUAAGAGUUAGGGAGUGUUACACCCUCUUUCCAUUCUUCCACUUUUCCACUCAACUAAGCACACCUUAAGGGUGUAUAUGGGUGAGAGAUUUGUAGGAGGGCUUCAUUUAAAUUAAGGUUUCAAAAGUCUAAAAAUGAAUUUACCUUUUUCGGGUAAAUAUAUUGAAGAAUUUAAAAUUUUGUGAGUAAUUUCAAGAAUGAAUUUUAAUAGCUCAAAUUCCUUUUUUAAUUCCGCUUAAAUAGGUGGUUUUUCAAAAUCUCUAACAAUUUUAAUUGAUUUAAUACACAUGGUUCGGCUAUAAAAUAAAAACUUAAACCUCAAAAUUUAUUUUAUUUAAUUAUAAUAUAUUUUUUAAAAUUUUAUUGUAUUAAAGUUAUUUAUAAAUUUUUACAAAUAUAAUGAUUUUCAUAUUGAAUAUUGUUUAUAUUAUUUAUAUUUAAUAUAAUUAUUCUUUUUAUAAUUAUUUUCUAAUUUGUAAAAUUCCAUUAACCUAAAUUUUUUUGUAAACCAAUUAUUUACCCCAACAAAAUAACCACAAAUACUAGCAUUUUAAAUAAUCUAAAAAAAUUCUAAUUAUAGGUCUCGAUCAUAUAUGCUCUUUUUGACACAAUGCCUAGAACUACCCAUAGUCCCUCCCCAGCUCAUAGAUAAAAGGAUAAUACGUUUCAGCAGACUCGAAAUCACGUCUUUCUCCUCAUGCCAAUUGAAUUAAGGUUCAAUCGACAAUUCGAUACAAAUUUAAAUAUAUAUAUUUUUUAUAUUUAUGUCAUAUGUUUGCUAUUUUUAUUGUGAAAUUAUUUUAAUUCUGGUUAAAAUUAUUUCGCUUUAAGAUAAUUUAUAUGUUGUAAUUAUAUUUAAUAAAUAUUAUUUAUAAAUUACAAGAAAUAAAAAUAUAUUAUUAAAUGCAAGUAGUUUGAAUUGCGCGGAGUGCGGCUACUUAUAUUCAACCAUCUAUCACAUCUGUUUGAAAUAAAAGAAAAUAAAAUUGUUUUUUUUGAAAAAUUAAAUUGAGUUGUCCUUUUCUCUUUGAUUUUCUCUUUGUCUUUUAGCAAUAAUAGCUUUUCAAGGCUUAAUUUAAUAAGACGAACCCGGGUUGGUUUAGUUUUUUAAAUUACCUUUUCAUCGGUUUGAAUAUUUAAUAGGCUUAAUUUAGUUGGCAAGUUCUUAAGCUUGGUGGUAAUGGGUUUGAAUGAAGGAAUUCUAGUUGUCAAUCUUUGCUUUCACUUUCUCCUAAAUCAUCUACUUGCUAGAUGGUUUUGGUGCAGAACAAAUGAAAUUCAUAUUCGUUUAUGUGAAUAAAAUAAUCGUUUAUUUUUUCAAAAUGCGUAAAUAUUUUGAUUUUCAUAAAAUAUAACUUUAUGAAAAAAAAAAAACUCAACUAUUACAUGUGAAAUUUAAAUUAAAUUAGGAAGGACCAACAAUUGAUUGCUCAUAUAAAUAUCUUAUUUUUUCAGAUUUUUUUUUUCCGAUUCGGAUUCAUCUCUCGUGAUAAAAGUUGAAGUAAAAUUAUUAGUUAUUAAGGUGGAGGCUCGUUCUCACCUGUGCAAAGGGAUAAGCCACUGACAUGACAGCAUCCACAACAGAUGACAAAUAAAAAAUUUAAAGGCGUGAAGUACAAAAACAGGCGCUGCUUCUUCACUCACCAUUCAUUGGACCCCUUUCUUAAAUAAAUGCUGUUCUGCUUGAUUAUCCUUUCCAUACAUUGUUCUUAAAUCAAUGGCUGAGCAGUAUAUAGUUGGAGUUGCAGGUGUUAUAGCCUUUCUUUUGGGGUUUGUUUUCUUAGUGAGAUCUUGGGGGCUGAGCAAGCUGAAAAGAGCAGCUUCAAUGGAAUUCCCAAAGGAAAACUGUGUAAACAAAAAUGGAAAUGGUGAGGGUGAGGGUGAGGCAGUUGGCACUACGGAAAUUAUCAUAGUCGGUGCUGGUGUUGCCGGUGCUGCUCUUGCCUAUUCUCUUGGAAAGGUCCCAAUUUUUACGCUCCUUUAUUUUAACUUUAUAGUAUCAAGUUCGGAGUUGGGAUAAUAAUAGUAACCAACUUUAAAGGUAGGUUUGGAUGAGCGAUUGAGUGCAGUGCGGUGUGUUUAGUUUAUUUUUUGUCUCACGCUACAGUGUCUAAUAUUACCACCACCGCUGUUUUUACACUAACCGCAGGUAAAUGCACCGCCCAUCCAAACUCAUCCUAAAAAGAUAAUUUUCAGUGGCCAAGCCACUAAGAGAUUCGGGGAGUCAAGGCCAAAGGUCUAAAAUUUUUCAAUUUCUUUUUUAUAUACAUGUAAUGUAAUCACCCUCCUAAAUAUAAAAAUAGAUUUUUCUAAUAUUUUUAUAGUAUUAUAAAUAAUAUUAAAAUAUUUUUUAUUAUGAAAAUUGUUAAAAUAAGAUUUCGCAACAAAGUAGAGGAUAAGUUUCUUAUAAAUAAUCUUGUUCUUUAUUUUAAGAGAUGUUGCCGAAACUUUUAAUCUAAACUCUAUAUUUAAUGAUUUUAUUUUUUUUGAAAGAACAUCGUGCACUAAUCAUAUGCUAUUUCUUCUUGAUUGUUCUUUUUAAAUAUGUAUUUAUAUAAUCUUUUUUAAUUUAUAUAUAUUUAGAAAUAUAAUAUGGAACAAAAAUUUUAUAUAAUUCUUUGUAGUGUAAUUAACAUAAAUAAUAUUUGUUAUAAUAUUUUUUUCGUAGCACGUCUAAUUUUAGCUUGGCUCUUUCAAGAUUAAUAUCCUGAUUCUGUCACUGUUCAUUAUUUUAAAAUAAAUAUAAAAGAUACUUUAAUAUAUGUCAAACAAUAAAAUAAAGAAUUGAAAUUCCAUCUUAGGGUCUGUUUGAUUGACGUAAUUGAUUUUUCGGAAAAUCAUUUCUAACUUUUCCAGCGUUUGAUUGGCGGAAAACAUUUUCCAUUUGGAAAAUGAACUCCAAAAAAAGGGAAAAUGGGUUACAUUUUAGGGAAAAUGUCUUACCCUUUCAAUUUCCGUAAGACAUUUUCCGUGCUCUCCUCUCUAUCGCCUCCUUCAUUCCUUCCUUCAUUUUCGGUAGAAAAUUGCUUCUGUUUAUCGAUUUUUCAGUAACUUCUUUUUUUUAAUUAUUCAAUACUUGUUUUUUUAACACAAUUACAAAUAAUUUAUUUGAUAUUAGUUUUUUUCAAUCUAUAACGAUUAAUAUUGUAGCUUAAUAAUUGAGUAUUAUUAUAAAUAAAUCAUUGCAAUAUAUGUAAAAACAAUUUAAAAUAUAAAAAUUUAUUAAUACAUAUUAAUAUAUGCAAAAACAACUUUUCCGGAAAAUAUUUUCAGAAAAUCUGCCAAAUAGCAAAAAAUAUUUUACACAGAUUCAAUCAAACACCAGAAAAUAUUUUCCAGUAAAUCAUUUUACAGAAAAGUAAAACAUUUUCCAGAAAUCAUUUUACGGAAAAUAUUUUACUGGCAAUCAAACAGACCUUAAUUAUAUUUAAUGUAGAAAUACAUAUAAAUAUUUACUAAAUAGAGAUUUUUAAAAAUAUUGUAGAGGUGGAGAAUGCUCCAUUUAGCGUCAAUUAACAUCAGUUUCUGUCUUCAAGUUUUCAUAAGAUCCUUGAAAAAUGGAUUUAACUAUGAUGUUAUACCUAAUAAUUUUUUUAUAAUUAUAUAUUGCAGGAUGGAUGUCAAGUGCAAGUGAUAGAAAGAGACUUAAAUGCACUUAAUAGAUUUGCUGGCGAAUUAUUAAUGCCAGGAGGCUACCUCAAGUUAAUUGAAUUAGGCCUCGUAGGUAAAUAAGAAAAUUAAUGGAAUAUAAUGUUACAAUGAUAUUUCUUUGUAUAUUUUUAUUUAUUUAUUUUACAUUAAAUGUUGGCAAUACAGAUUGUGUAGAUGAGAUUGAUGCUCAACAAAUUUUAGGUUAUACUCUAAACAAGGAUGGAAAGGAGGCUCUCAUAUCUUUUUCAUUGGAAAAGUUUCAGUCUCAUGUUGUAGGAAGAACCUUCCAUAAUGGUCGUUUCGUUCAAAGACUACGAAAGAAAGCCGCAUCUCUUCACAAGUACUUUCUCUCCUUCCUCCCAAUCAUUCUUUAAUUUCAAUAUAAUAUUUUAGAACAUUUAUCUUAAUGGAUUAAAUGACUUGUAGUUGUUUUGAUCCAUUACUUCUAUUUAGACCUAUCAAUUGAGCUCAUUCAGUUGAUUUUGGUUUGAUCAAUCUAGAUAAAUCACUCAAGUUUUUAAACUAACACAUCAUUUUGGUUUUUAUCACUUUAGGCUAAGGAUUAUUUUGGGUUCAGAUCAUUUCAUGUGUAGAUUUGAGUCAUUUUGGGUUCAAACAUUAGAGCUCCAGGUUAUAAUUUUUUGAGUCUGGUCAUUACAAUUUAAUAUCGUUUUGGUUCUAGUCACUUCGAGUUUGGGUCCUUUCAAGUUAAUUUUUGAAUCAUUUUGGGUUUGAGUUGUUUUAAGUUCAAGCUAGUUUGGGUUAGGGUAAAUUUUUGUUAAAGUUGGAGGGACUCAAAUUGUGGACCCUUUAUAGUCAAAUCAAAUUGGAUCAAAUUUAAGUUCCAAUUGGUCGAGUCAAAUUUUUAAAUUCAAGUCAAAAUUGACAUGUUUGGUUCUUUUACUAUACUUUGUUUCAACUUGUUUUAAUCAGAAAUUAUGCCUCUCUUUACAAGCUCCAAAUUCAUGUUUUGAUGAUAUGAUAACGCAGUGUAAGUUUAGAACAAGGGACAGUAACAUCUCUACUUGAAGAAAAUGGUAUUGUCAAAGGAGUGCACUAUAAAGAUAAGAGUGGUCAAUUGCUAACAGCUUAUGCUCCUCUCACCAUCGUCUGUGAUGGUUGUUUCUCGAAUUUGAGACGCUCUCUCUGCCAUUCUAAGGUGAAAAAAAUGCUUACAUAUAUACUCUUGUUAAAUUGGUUUAAUUCUUAUUUUAGUCACUCUAUAACGUUAAAAAUUUGAGAUUUAGUCCUAUUUUAUUGUGCCAUAAUUUGAUUCCAUUAUUUUUGUGAUGAUAUUAGUAUGUCAAAAUAGAUCAGUUGCUUUUAUUAAAGAAUUGACUCAUUUUUUGGUCAUAUAGUCCAGGUCACAUUGAAAUCAAGUCAAUUAGGUUGAACCAAUAAUGAAAUUACAUGUUACUCGAAUGUUAGUUAGUUUUAAUAGAAAUCUAUGUCAUUAUUUCAAUGUAACAAUUAACGAUGUCAUCAAUUUGGGCCUACAAUAAAAGUAGAGAGACUAAAUUUUGCCAAAUUGAAAUAGAGGAAUAAAAUUCCAAUUUCAGCUUGGUAGAGGGAUUAAAACCAUAAUUAGACUUAAAUAUGCUUUGAGAAAAUAUACAUAUAAAGGUCUCGAUUGUUUGUGCAGGUGGAUAUCCCCUCUUAUUUUGUUGGUUUUAUCUUGACGAACUGUAAACUUCCAAAAGAAAAAUAUGGAGCUCUUAUAUUAGCAGAUCCUUCACCUAUCCUAUUUUAUCCCAUUAGUAGCACUGAAAUUCGUUGCUUGGUGGAUGUUCCUAGUCAAAAUCUACCCUCUGUUUCCAAUGGUGAAAUGGCUCAUUACUUGAAAACUUUGGUGGCUCCCAAGGUAUAUUUAUAUCUUUCUUUAAUCGACUCAUUAAUGGAAUUUGGUUGAACUUAUGGACUAACUAUAUGAUCUAUGAUACAUUUCAGGUUCUUCCUGAAUUAUACAAUUCCUUUAUAUCUGCAGUAGAGAAGAAGGGCAACAUAAGAAUAAUGCCGAACAAAAUCAUGGCUGGUGCUCCACACCUCACUCCUGGUGCUUUUUUGAUUGGCGAUGCAUUCAAUAUGCGGCAUGCUAUAACUGCAGGGGGAAUGACUGUUGCUUUAUCUGAUGUUGUGAUACUUAGGGAUCUUCUAAGACCCUUGCAUGAUCUAUCUGAUGCAUCCGCCAUUUGCAAAUAUCUUGAAUCCUUUUAUACUCUGAGGAAGGUAUUGUAAUUCAUGUCCUAUAUGAAUUUUUUAAAGUGAAUAAAAAGGAACAAAAAAUGGCAUAAAUUUUCACUUUUAACUGCAUGCAGCCAAUGUCAUCUACGAUAAAUACACUAGCCAAUGUUUUACAUAAGGUAUUUAGUGCCCCGUCGGAUCCUGCAAUGGAGAAUCUGCAACAAACAUUGUUGGGGUAUUUGAAACUUGGAGGGGUUUUUUCAUCUGGAGUAUCAGCUCUGCUCUCUGGUUUAUGCCCUCGUCCAUUAAGCUUAGUAUUUCAUUUCAUUGUCAUGGCAAUGUAUGGUGUUGGCCAGUUGUUACUUCCAUUUCCUUCUCCCAAACGCUUGUUGGAUGGGGCUAAACUCCUUUGGGUCAGUAUCUCUAGCAAUGAUCAUUUCUCAUAUAUCAUGAUCACUAACACGAUAAAAAUAUAUAAUAAUUUUAAAAUGACGUUAUUUUUUUUUGUUUUUUCAGGUUGCAUCAAGUGUUUUUCUCCCCAUUAUACACUCUGAAGGAGUCAGACAAAUGUUUUUCCCUCUAACUGUGCCAGCAUAUUAUAGAACUCCCCCUAAGGGAAAAAAAAUCUGAGAGGAAACUCCAUGCAUCUGUAGUGAACAAUUCUAUAUAUAUUCGCAAUAGAUUUUCAUAUUUGUUUCUAGUUAGCAUUCUCAAGUAGGCUUAAUGGUCGUUUGUACUCAUAUUAUUUUUAUGUGUCUUGUUUAAAAUUCUAAAUAAAGGUUUUGUAAUUCUUGUGUUGGUGUUAUUUUUAUGUAUCUUGUUUGAAAUAUUGAACUAACGCGUUAGUAUUUUUAAGUAGGUUCAAUAAGCAUCCUAUUCGUAUUGUUUUUGUUAAUAUAACUUAUUCAUGAGUUCAUUAAUAUUAAUAAGUGUGUAGCGAUCUCAUGAGUUUGGAAAGCUCUUUGGGAGAGAUUUUGCACAACUUGAGUGUAUAUCCUAAAGCAUUUGUUGCGAUGGACAGGAUUUUUCUAGAUAGAGCUUUGAUAUAGGUGACUUGAGUGGAAAUAUCUAUCCAAAUUUUGCACAAAUUUACGACCGAGUGAAUAAAGUUGAGUUUAUGAUGCAUUUUCGAUAAAAUAUCUUUUUAGCUAACUGGGCGGCAAAAGUGACAUUAAAUAUUCCAGAAAAGAUCUUUGAUGCACUCCCCAAGCGUAUAGCAGAACUUCCCCCGGCAAUACCAAAAAAUAAGUUAAUUUGUCUUUUCCCUUGGUUUUUUCUCCAAUAAUAAUUUAUCCCUUUUUGUUUCUGCAUUACGUGUGGUGGAGGUACAUCUAUCAUAUUUUUGUCAACUUUUUUGUUUUUCCAUUACGUGAGGUGGACAGCGGCCAAACUAUGGGACUCCCUCACUUAAAAUAGAAAAUUUUUUAUUUAAAUUUUUAAAAUUUUUAAAAUUUUAAAUUAAAAAAAUAAAAUUGUACUUUGAUGUUUUUUAAAGUUGAUAAAAAUUUAAUUUAAUUUUUUAAAAAAUUAUAAAGAUAUAGGCUAUUAAAAUAGUAAAAUUAUAUUUUUAUUGUCAUAAAAAUUACAAUUUAAUUUCGACCUUCUAAAUUUUUUUGUGACAUUCGGGACUAAACUGAAUAAAUUAAAAGUUGUUAAGAAAUUAUGCCAUAGACUAAAAAUACAAGGUCUCUAACAUGAAAGUAUAUGAAAUCAGAUUUUGAUUCAAUACUAAAGAUUGAAAAGUAUGAGCAUUUCUAAUAUAGGGAAAAAUGAAGAAAAUACAAAAUAUAUUUGAUUAUAUGUUUAUCAUGUGGUUGAGUGAAAACUAAAGCUAUUUUAUAAUUGAAUUAUCGAACGUAGCUAAAAACAAUGUCAGGCCGUCCUAAGAUAAAGGAAAUGCGAGAAUCGAAGAAAGUAAUUAAUACGAACUAAUACGAUUUGUACAUUCAUGAUUCAAAUUCAAUAUUUGCAAACUAAAUUGUCUCAUGGUUUGGUUUGUAUUUCAAUACUAUUGAACAUAUGUUUGAUCUUUAGAUUUGUAAUUUGUAAAUGUUUAAUUUAAAUAUGAUAUAAAAGUAUGAAAAGUAAAAAAAAACGUGAUGAUAAUAAUAUUAAUUAUAAUUUAAAAGAAGAGAUAUUUUAUUAUUUUUAUUUCACUUUAAAAUAGAUCUGAUUUUACGAAAAUUUGAAACAAUAGAGAACUAACCUAGUAAAAAGUAUACUUUAUACUUUAUAAUUAAUAUUGUUUGAUAGAAAGCUGUUCUAAAAGUAUCACAAAAAUUAUCGAAUUAUUUAUUUUAUAUAAAGAAAAACUUAUAACCACUAAAUACAUAUUAAUAAAGACCUAAUAUUUAAUCAAUAUGAUAAAAAUAUCGAAUCAAUUUAAAAUUGUACAUGCAUAAGAACCACAUUAUUUAUAUCGAUAUAUUCAUUUUAUAAUUAUAUAAAAGUUUGAGUAAAACUAUUAGCUUUACAGGUGGAUCUCAGAGGCGAAGUAAGAAAAUUUUUAAGUGAAAUUAAAUUAUAUAUUUUUAAGAUAAUAAAAAUAUAAUUUUACUAUUUUUAAUAGUCCAUACUUUUAUAAAUUUUAAAAAGUUAAAUUAAAAUUUUAUCCUUUAUCAAAUAUUAUUAAUUUAAAAUUUUAUAAAAUAUCUGGCGGAGUACUGUGAUUUUAGUUGCCACUUGUGCAAAGGGAUAAGCCACUGACAUGACUGCAUCUGCAUCCAUGAAAGAAGCCAAAUUGAAUUGUAACUUACUGCUCCUUUACGCUAAGAAUUUUUUCAGAGACGUGGAAGUACAAAAACAGGCGGUGCUUCUUCAUUCUUAUAUAAAUGCUGUUCUUCUUGAUUAUUCUUUCCAUACAUUGUUCUUAAAACAAUGGCUGGGCAGUUUAUAGUUGGAGUUGCAAAUGUUAUAGCCUUGCUUUUGGGGUUUGUUUUCUUAGUGAGAUUUUGGGGGCUGAGCAAGCUGAAAAGAGCAGCUUCAAUGGGGUUCCCAAAGGAAAACUGUGUAAACAAAAAUGGAAAUGGUGAGGGUGAGAGUGAGAGUGAGGGUGUUGGGACUGCAGAAAUUAUCAUAGUCGGCGCUGGUGUUGCCGGUGCUGCUCUUGCCUAUUCUCUUGGAAAGGUCCCAAUUUUUUAUCACCUUUAUUUUAAUUUUAUAGAAUUAAGUUUCGACUUGGGAUAAUAAUAGUAUUGAACUCUAAAAGGAUCUUGGAGCCACAUACAUGACUCUCCCAACUUUUCCAAUAUUUUUGUAGUGAAAGAGAUUGUUUUAAUUUUUUAUUUAAAUUUUAUAUUUAGUGAUUUUAUUUCCUUAAAGGAACAUUGUGCACAGUUUUAAGUAGGUCUGCUCAUGACCUGGUCCAGCUCAAAAGCCCGCUCGAAAAAUAGAAGAUUUAGGUAAAAAUAUAGGCUCAAAAAAUGAGCUUGGGAGAAAAAUGCCCGUUUAGAAAACGGGCUAAGCCUCAAGUAAGGUUUUUCAGCCCGGCCCAAAUAUGUAGUUUUUUUUUUUGCAAUUUUUUUCUAUUUUCUUGUUGUUGUUUUUCACUAUUUUGCUACUAUUUCACUAUUAUGUCGUUAUUAUUUUGUUGUUAUUGUAUAACUAUUGUUUUAUUGUUAAUUUUGUUAUUAUUUUAGAGGUAUUUGCUUGUUAAGUUGCACUUAUCUUAGUGUUAUUUAAGUAUACAUUUUUUAAAAAAUUUAUUUUUAAUUUGUUGGAAAACAAUUAUUUUAAUAUUUUUAAUAUUUUUUUAAAAAAAAAUUAAUAUAAGCGGAGCCCGGGUUUUAACAUUUUAUUCGGGCUAGGCUUGAGCAAAAUUUAAGGACCAUUUUUUGGGCUCGGGCCAAGCAAACGAGUCUAAAAUUUUGGUUUUGCCCGGCCAAACCCAUAAACACCUCUAGUUUUAAGUAAUCAUAUGUUAUUUCUUCUUAAUUGUUCUUUUUAAAUAUGUAUUUAUGCCAUCUUUUUUUAACUUACAUAUAUGUCUUUUUUGUAGUAUAACUAACAUACAUAAUAUACGUUACAAGAAAUAAAUAUAAAAGAUACUUUAAUUAUGACAAAUAAAAAAAUUGAAAUUCCUUCUUAAUUAUAUUUAAUGUAGAAAUACAUAUAAAUAUCUAAGAUUUUAAAAAAUAUUGUAGAGGUGGGGAAUGUCGCAUUUAGCUUCAAUUAACAUCAGUUUCUCUUCAAGUUACCAUAAGAUCCUUGAAAAAUGGAGUUAACUAUGAUGUUAUACCUAAUAAUACUUCUAUAAUUAUAUAUUGUAGGAUGGACGUCGAGUGCGAGUGAUAGAAAGGGACUUAAAUGCACCUAAUAGAAUUGCUGGUGAAGCUCUAAUGCCUGGAGGCUACCUCAAGUUAAUUGAAUUAGGCCUUGAAGGUAAAUAAGAAUAGUGGAUGCAAUAUAAUAUUUCAAUGUCAUUUCUUUAAAUAUAUUACUUUGAAUGUUGGCACUACAGAUUGCUUAGAUGAGAUUGAUGCUCAACGAUUUUUGGGUUAUACUCUAAACAAGGAUGGAAAGGAGGCUCUCAUAUCUUUUCCAUUGGAAAAGAUUCAUUCUCAUGUUGUAGGAAGAACUUUCCAUAACGGUCGUUUCGUUCAAACAUUACGAAAGAAAGUAGCAUCUCUUCACAAGUACUUUCUCUCCUUCCUCCCAAUCAUUCUUUAAUUUCAAUUUAAUAUAUUAGAACAUUUAUCUUAAUGGAUUAAAUGACUUGUAGUUGUUUUGAUCCAUUACUUUUGUUUAUGAGCUCGUCCAGUUGAUUUUGGUUUGAUCAAUUUAGAUAAAAUCACUCAAGUUUUAAAACUAACACAUCAUUUUGGUUUUUAUCAUUUUAGGCUAAGGAUUAUUUUGGGUUCAGAUCAUUUCCAGUUUAUAUUUGAGUCAUUUUGCUCCGGGUUUCAAAUUUUUGAGUGUGGUCAUUACAAUUUCAUAUCGUUUUGGUUCUAGUCACUUCGAGUUUGGAUCCUUCCAAGUUAAUUUUUGAAUCAUUUUGGGUCUGAGUUGUUUUAAGUUCAAGUUAGUUUGGGUUAGAGUAAAAUUUUGUUCAAGUUGGAGGGACUCAAAUUGUGGACCCUUUAUAGUCAAAUCAAAUUGGAUCAAAUUUAAGUUCCAAUUGGUCGAGUCAAAUUUUCAAAUUCAAGUCAAAAUUGACAUGUCUGGUUCUGUUACUAUUACUUUGUUUCAACUUGUUUUAAUCAGAAAUUAUGCCUCUCUUUACAAGGUCCAAAUUCAUGUUUUUAUGAUAUGAUAACGCAGUGUAAGUUUAGAACAAGGGACAGUAAUAUCUCUACUUGAAGAAAAUGGUAUUGUCAAAGGAGUGCACUAUAAAGAUAAGAGUGGUCAAUUGCUAACAGCUUACGCUCCUCUCACCAUUGUCUGUGAUGGUUGUUUCUCGAAUUUGAGACACUCUCUCUGCCAUUCUAAGGUGAAAAAAAUGUUUACGUAUUCUUGUUAAAUUAGUUUAAUUCUUAUUUUAGUCACUCUAUAACGUUAAAAAUUUGAGAUUUAGUCCUAUUUUAUUGUGCCAUAAUUUGAUUCCAUUAUUUUUGUGAAGAUAUUAGUAUGUCAAAAUAGAUCAGUUGCUUUUAUUAAAGAAUUGACUUAUUUUUUGGUCAUAUAGUCAAGGUCACAUUGAAAUCAAGUCAAUUAGGUUGAACCAAUAAUGAAAUUUCAUGUUACUCGAAUGUUAGUUAGUUUUAACAAAAAUCUAUGUCAUUAUUUCAAUGGUAACAAUUAACGGUGUCAUCAAUUUGGAUCUACAAUAAAGAUAGAGAGACUAAAUUUUGCCAAAUUGAAAUAGAGGAAUAAAAUUCCAAUUUCAGCUUGGUAGAAGGACUAAAACCAUAAUUAGACUUAAAUUAUAUGCUUUGAGAAAAUAUGCAUAUAAAGGUCUCGAUUAUUUGUGCAGGUGGAUAUACCUUCUUAUUUUGUUGGUUUUAUCUUGACGAACUGUAAACUUCCAAAAGAAAAAUAUGGAGUUUUUAUAUUAGCAGAUCCUUCACCUAUCCUAUUUUAUCCCAUUAGUAGCACAGAAAUUCGUUGCUUGGUGGAUGUUCCUAGUCAAAAUCUACCCUCUGUUUCCAAUGGUGAAAUGGCUCAUUACUUGAAAACUUUGGUGGCUCCCAAGGUAUAUUUAUAUCUUUCUUUAAUUGACUCAUUAAUGGAAUUUGGUUGAACUUAUGGACUAACUGUAUGAUCUAUGAUACAUUUCAGGUUCUUCCUGAAUUAUACAAUUCCUUUAUAUCUGCAAUAGAGAAGAAGGACAACAUAAGAAUAAUGCCGAACAAAAUCAUGGCUGGUGCUCCACACCUCACUCCUGGUGCUUUUUUGAUCGGCGAUGCAUUCAACAUGCGGCAUGCUAUAACUGGAGGGGGAAUGACUGUUGCUUUAUCUGAUGUUGUGAUACUUAGGGAUCUUCUAAGACCCUUGCAUGAUCUAUCUGAUGCAUCCGCCAUUUGCAAAUAUCUCGAAUCCUUUUAUACUCUGAGGAAGGUAUUGUAGUUAAUGUCCUAUAUGAAUUUUUUAAAGUGAAAAAAAAGGAACAAAAAAUGGCAUAAAUUUUCACUUUUAACUGCAUGCAGCCAAUGUCAUCUACGAUAAAUACACUAGCCAAUGUUUUACAUAAGGUAUUUAGUGCCCCGUCCGAUCCUGCAAUGGAGAAUCUGCAACAAACAUUGUUGGGGUAUUUGAAACUUGGAGGGGUUUUUUCAUCUGGAGUAUCAGCUCUGCUCUCUGGUUUAUGCCCUCGUCCAUUAAGCUUAGCAUUUCAUUUCAUUGUCAUGGCAAUAUAUGGUGUUGGCCAGUUGUUACUUCCAUUUCCUUCUCCCAAACGCUUGUUGGAUGGAGCUAAACUCCUUUGGGUCAGUAUCUCUACCAAUCAUUUCUCAUAUAUCAUGAUCACUAACACGAUAAAAAUAUAUAAUAAUUUAAAAAUGACGUUCUUUUUUUUGUUGUUGUUGUUUUUUCAGGUUGCAUCAAGUGUUCUUCUCCCCAUUAUACACUCUGAAGGAGUCAGACAAAUGUUUUUCCCUCUAACUGUGCCAGCAUAUUAUAGAACUCCCCCUAAGGGAAAAAAAAUCUAAGAGGAAACUCCAUGCAUCUGUAGUGAACAAUUCUAUAUAUAUUCGCAAUAGAUUUUCAUAUUUGUUUCUAGUUAGCAUUCUCAGGUAGGCUUGAUGGUGGUUUGUACUCAUAUUGUUUUUACGUGUCUUGUUUAAAAUUCUAAAUAAAGGUUUAGUAAUUCUUGUGUUGGUGUUGUUUUUAUGUAGCUUGUUUGAAAUAUUGAACUAACGAGUUAGCAUUUUUAAGUAGGUUCAAUAAGCAUCCUAUUCGUACUGUUUUUGUUAAUAUAAAUUAUCCAUGAGUUCAUUAAUAUUAUUAAGUGUAUAGAGAUCUCAUGAGUUUGGAAAGCUCUUUGAGAGAGAUUUGGCACAACUUAAGCGUAUAUCCUAAAGCAUUUCUUGCGAUGGAGAGGAUAUUUCUAGAUAGAGCUUUGAUAUAGGUGACUUGAGUGGAAACAUCUAUCCAAAUUUUGCACAAAUUUACAACCAAGUGAAUAAAAUUGAGUUUAUGAUACAUUUUCGAUUAAAUAUCUUUUUAGCUAACUGGACGGCAAAAGUGACAUUAAGGGUGAGUUUGGAUGGGCGGUGCGUUUACCUGCGGUUAGUGUAAAAAUAGCAAUAGCGGUGAGAUUAGAUACUGUAGUGAUACUGUAGCGUAAGACAAAAAGUAAGUUAAACACACCGCACCACACCCAAUCGCCCAUCCAAACCCACCCUAAAUAUUCCGGAAAAGAUCUUUGAUGCACUCCCCAAGCGUAUAGCAGAACUCCCCCGGCACUUUUUAUCAUACCAAAAGUUAAAUUAAUUUGUCUUUUCCCUCUCUUUUUUUUCCAAUAAUAAUUUAUCCUUUUUGUUUUUGCAUUACGUGUGGUGGAGGUACAUCUAUCAUAUUUUUGUCAAGUUUUUAUUUUCUUCCCUUUCGAUUCGCUAUUUCUCUGCUAACCUCUCUUCAAUUUCCCUCUUUCUCAAUUUGGUAAAGGACGACACGGAUGAAUUAAGUUAAAUGUCCUCUUAAGAAACGGCGCCGUUAAAGGUAAUUUUAAUUCAGAGUUGCGGCGUUUUGCGAAAAAACGCUGCUAUUGCAUCCACAUUUGCGGUGUUUUAAUAAUAAAGAACGCCACUAAAAUUUUUAGUACAGAAAGAAACGGUGCCGUUUUAUUAAAAUAUAAUGCAUGUUCUGGUGUUUUUCCAAAAAAUGCCACUAAAAGAUUCCAUCCUUCCAUUGAAACGGUGCCGUUUUGCCAACUUUUAAGUAUCAUUUACGGCAUUUUUCGGAAAAACACUAUAACUCAAAUUUAAUCCCUAAACUGAAACGACGCCGUAUCGAAAAAUGCAAUAAAUGUUUGUGGCAUUUUUUACCAAAACGCCGAUAAUGUCUACCUUUUGCGGUGUUUUUGAUAUAAACGCCACUAAUAAAUUUAAAUUCUCCUAUCGAAACGGUGCCGUUUUGAGAAAUUUGACUAUAUAGUAACGGCAUUUUUUUUGUUAAAAACACCGCUAAAUCUCAAAUAUUUUAUUUAUUUAUUUAUUUAUUGUAUCUUUCAUUUAAAUUUUACGUAAAUAAUUAUUAAAAUUUUAAGUAAUAUUUUAAAAGUAUUUGAUACAUGUAUAAAUUUUAGUUUUUUUAUUUCAUUUUUAUUUUUUUAUUUUAUUUUUUCUUAUAUUUUGGUCCUAUACAAAUUAAAUAAUUAAUUACCUAUAUAUAUAUAUCCAUAUCAAAAAUAUCAAUGGUUAGGGUUAAAUGUUUUUAAAUAUACAAGUAUUAAUUAAUUGUAUCAUUUAACAAGUCUCAAAUAAACCUUAAACCCUAAAUUAACCAAUCAAUCUACAUGCAUAAAGUGAUCGUCUAUCUAUUAUAUAUCUCUUAAAUAAUAUAAAUUAUACUCAUAAUUUCAAUAUAUUAAAUUUAUUAUUAUCUAUUUUACAAAUAUAUAAGAACAUAUUUAAUAUAUAAAUUAAUAAAACUAAUUAAUCUAAACUUAAACCCUAACUUGACCCUUGAAACCCCAAACCCUAAAUCCCUAACCCCUAACCCCUAAAUCCCCCUAACACCUAAAGCAUAACCCCUAACACUUGAACCUUAAAUCCCAAACCCUAAAUCCAUACCCCCUACUCCUUAAAAUACCAUCCAAAAAAAUCCUUAAAUCUUUAACAAUCAUAAAAUAUAGUUAAAAUCGAUUAAACAAUAAUUAAUAGUUAAAAAUUUUGUAUAAAUUGGUGUUUUAUAUUACUUUCUUUGAUUUAUUUAGUCGAACUAUCAAAAUUUAUUAUUCUUAUAAAAGUUUAUUCUAUUUUUUAUUCUUUACAACACAACAAUUUAAGUUUUAUGAUAUUUUAUUUUACUCAUAGUUUAAUAUAUUUUUUUCUAGUAAAGUAGUUUAAAUAAACUGUGAUUAAAAAAUAAUAAUAAAUAGUUAGGAGUUAGGACUUCUCUUUAAUUAUAAAAAUAUUUUGUAUUAAACAAUAUUAUUUGUUAUCAUUUAAAUGUAAAUUUGUCCACUAUAUAACAUGGUCUUUAGCGUCGUUUUUUUCUAAGCGCCGCUAAAGAACAUGGUCUUUAGCGGCGUUUUUGUUUGUAAAUGCUGCAAACGUUUGCGACGUUUUCGUUAGCGGCCUUUUUUGCGGCGCUUGUGGAAGCGCCGCAAAUACCUUUAGUGGCGUUAUAAAGCGCCGCUAAAGGCCUAAAAAAACGCCGCUAAAGACCCGUUUUGGUGUAGUGUUAUAAUAAAAAAAAUAUAAUUCAAACAUUACUUGAGAAUAUAUCAAAGAAUGAGAUAAUUGAAAUGGGUAUUAGAUUUUAUUAUUAUUAGCGGUGCUAUUUCAAAAACGCCGCUAAAGGCCCGAGCAUUAGCGGCGCAAUUUCAAAAAAGCCGCUAAAGGCCCGAGCAUUAGCGGCGCUAUCUCAAAAACGCUGCUAAAGGACCGAGCAUUAGUGGCACUACUCCAAAAACGCCGCUAAAGGCCCCAAAAACUCAGGCGUCGUUGGUCUUAGGUUUUUUGCGGCGCUUUUCGGAAAACGCGCUAAUUCUUAUUUUUGGCGGCGUUUUUCGAAAAGCGCCGCUAAUGCUCGAUCUUUAGCUGUGUUUUUAUAAAAGCGCCGCUAAUGCUUGAUUUUUAGUAGCGUUUUUUAUCCAAACGCCACUAAAAAUGCCACUAAAAGCCUAUUUUGGUGAAGUGGUAGUAUUGGUUCACAUCGUAGGGCGUACCAAGAGCACUAAAAAUGAUAAUGCAUAGGGUCUCAUGAGCUUGGAGAGUUGUUUGGGAGAGAUUUAGAACAACUUUAGCAUGUAUCCUAAAGCAUUUCUUGUGGUGGAGAGGGCCUUUCUAGAUGACGAGGAACUUUGGUAUGGGAGACUUGAGUGGAAACAGUCAUCCAAGUUUUGCACAGGCUUACAGCCGAGUGAAUAAAGUUGAGUCCGUAACACAUUACGAGCUUAAUAUAUUCCUCGAUAAAAAGUCUUUUUAGUUAACUGGAUGGAAAAAGUAGCAUUAAAUAUUCUUAAAAUGAUCUUUACUUUUGAUGAACCACCCCCAGAGAUCAUGGUCACCCUUAAAACUGAUGUGAAAGAAUUUGCCUUCCCAGAUUUAGGGAAAAUUCUCCCAUGCGCUCCAAGCAUGCACACAUAUAUGUAAUUUUUACCGACUUUUCUAAUGCUAUUUUUGUUAGAAAUAUUAGUAUUGGUAUAAGUUAGAAAUGUCGGUAAAAACUAAAAAAAUUUGAUAGACUCCCCAAGCGUAUAGCAGGAUUCCCGACGUUUAAUUGUUGCUUAUUAAGCUCUAGGGCCCUCUAUCAUACCAAAAAUUAAAUUAUUUUGUUUUUUCCUUUUGUUUCUUUUAAUGCCUUCUUCUUUUGUUUUUUUUUUCCUUUUUGUUUCUUUUACUGCCUUAUUACAACUUCAUGAAUAAAACGUGGGUAUUUUUCCACCCAAAUAACAUCACUACAAAUACACCUGCAUGUCUAGUCAUUUUUGUGAGCAGCGUUGCUUUGGGGACUUAGCGAUCGCAGGACCCAUGUUUUGGCUACUCUUGUUUACUGUCUUCCAAAUUAGAGAUGAUUUGUAGAGCAUCUCCCUCAACAAUAAUAUCCCAGCACGUGCUUAUUCACUCCCCCACCAUUCCUCCCUUCUCUUCUAUAAAUCAUGUUCUUCUUGAUUAUUCGUUCCACGCAUUGUUAUUAAAUCAAUGGCUGAGCAGUACAUAGUUGGAGUUGGAGCUGUUAUAGCCUCUCUUUUGGGGUUCCUUUUCUUGUACUGCAAUUCCCUCAUAAGAUUUAGGGGACUGAGUAAGCUAAAAAGAGCAGCUUCAAUGGAGUUCCCAAAGGGGAACAGUGUAAACAAAACUGGAAAUAGUGAGGGUGUUGGCACUACGGAUAUUAUCAUAGUCGGCGCCGGUGUUGCCGGUGCUGCUCUUGCCUAUUCUCUUGGAAAGGUCCCAUUUUUUCUCCUUGUUCUUUAUUUUGUUCUACCAUAGUUUUAAUCAUCUUAUUUUCCUCUUCCUGCAUAUAACAAUUACUAUAUUUUUUUUUUUUUGUAAAAAUACCAUAGUGGCCUCUUAUCAGGAGUCAAACUACAUAUAUCUUCAUUUACUCAAAUAUUUCAUAAAUUAGUCUAUUUAUAUUAGAUCAAGUAGCAAACGGGUCAUUUCUAUUAAAAAAUUAAUCCAUUUUUACGGUUAAAAUUAAUGUGGCUGACAAAAUAACCAAAUAGUUAUACAUAACAUGCCAUAUGUGCCUCACGCUAACAUAUAGGGACCAAACUUUAACAGUAGGAAUUGAUGGAUUUUUUAAUAGAGGACCAAUUUGAUCUUUGAUCUAUUGUCUAGAGACUAAUUUGUUCAUUUUUUAGUAAAGGAGACAAAUGUAAUCCGACUUUUAGUACAAGGCUUAAUGAUGCUUUUACUAAUUUCUUUUAGGAACAAUUACUAAUUAAGUUUUCAUUUUAUUAUUAUUAUUUAUAGACAUUUUAUUAUUAUUGGUUGAAGUAUUAUAUGAGAAGAUAAUAAGUUAAUUUAAUUUCACGUGGAUCUGUGUUUAUUUUUUAUAAUAAAUUCAAAUUUUAAUUUGAUGGUAAAAUGAAAUAUUCAAUACUUUCUUAAACUGGAUCGGUUUUGAUUGAGAAUUGAUUAGGGGAUUGAUCCAAAAGAAAUAAAAAAAUUACUUGAUUCAUGAAUCAGUAUAAUCUGAUUAAAUCGGUGAUUGAAUUUGUUGAUCCAAAUUUUAUAAUUUUUUUAUUUUUGUUUUUAAAUUUUUUUUAAUAAUCUAUUUAACUUAAAUAAGAUAAACAAAUGGAUCGAAAAUUGAUAUUUAACUAAUUUGACCGUGAAUUUAGAAAACAUCAAAUAUAAUAUUAGCAACUAAGAAUAUAUAUAUAUAUGAAUUUUUUUUAUAAUUGGUAAGGCAUAAUAUGAAGUACUAAUAGAUAUAAAAUAUAUUUUGACAGUCGGAUUUAAUUUUAUUUAAUAUAAAUAGAUAUAAGUAUUUGAAUUAUUAUAAUAUAUAUUAACUGUUAGAAAAAAUUUUAUAAAUCUCGAUUGAGUUUUAGUUCAAUUGACAUGAGUAUUGUUGUUAAUGCGCUGAAACGUAUUAUACUCUUAUACAUAAGUUGAGAAUGAGCUGUAGGUAGUUCUAAGUAUUAUUUCAACAAAUAGCAUAUAUAAUCAGAACUUGUAAUAAGAUUGUUAAAACAAAAUCUAUAAGUUAAACAAAUUUUGUAGGUCCUUUAUUUAUUAAUUUUGAUUUUUUAAAAGGUUAAUUUUUAAUUACACCCUAAAAUAUAUCUAAAUCUUUUUUUUUGGUUAAAACUAAUACUUAGACUAUAAUUCAUUUAAUGCAACAUCAAUAAAUAAUUCUGAUUUUAUAAUAUUAUUUAUAGUAAUAUUAAUUAAAAAAUUAUAAUAACAUUUAAAAAAAAUAUUUCCCAACCCCACCACCGUUCUCCCCUCCUCCUCCCUUACCGUUCCUCCCUUUCACCCCUCACCCUCUCCCCACCGACCACCACCGCCGAGAGAAAGGGGCUUAAAUAUGGGCGUGUAUCAGUUUUAUAUAGUAAACCUCAAUCGUAGACCACCUUUGUGCUGGAUAUGUUGGUUAAUACUUGUUUUUCAUUAACAUGAGAGAAGCUUGAGGAAAGAAAAGUAAGAAUAUAGCAGUGGUUACUUCAUUCUACAGUUCCUAGACCGUUUGUGUAGUUGGGAAUUGUCCCAAGUCAUUUUUGUCCCAGAAUUCACCAUUUGACCAUUGAGUUUCAUUCUACAAAUCCAAACUAGGUUACAAAGUUGCAAUUUCUCAUAAGCUAAGCCAAACUUCUACUGUACUUGUAGUUUGUUUGCCAUUUUUUUUCCCUUCAAGAGCCAUUAAUACUUUGAUGGUAACUUGAUCUCCUUGGGUACAGAAGUGUUUUAGUUGAGGGAAAAAGGACAAUCAAAACCUGUAGUUUUUCUGCUAAUGUAAGAUAUGGGGGGAGGGGAGAGGGAGAGAGAGGGAGCCAAGAGGGGUGGCCGGGUGGGGGUGAGGGAGGAAAAUAUUUUUAUUUCUUUAGUGUUAACAUGCAUGUCAUAUGCACAUGAUGAAAUAAGAAACCUAUGUAUUGCAAUUGCAUAUGAUAGAACUCGAAUCUAGGUGCUUAAAAAUCCAGAGCCUCUCCCUUAAGCAACAAUACCAAAACUUAACAUGGUAUCAUACGUGACAAUUCUUCACAAUUUUCAUGUUACAGGACGGACGUCGAGUGCGAAUGAUAGAGAGGGACUUAAAUAUGCCUAAUAGAAUUGUCGGUGAACUUCUAUAUCCAGGAGGCUACAUAAAGUUAAUUGAAUUAGGCCUUGAGGGUAAACAACAAAUAAAUUGUGGAUUUAAAUAGUAGAUGCAAUAUAAUGUUACAAUGUUAGUUAUUUAUACAGUAACUUUUUUUUACUUUGAAUGUUGGUACUAUAGAUUGUGUAGAUGAGAUUGAUGCUCAACAAUUUUUGGGUUAUACUCUAUACAAGGAUGGAAAGGAGACUCUCGUAUCUUAUCCAUUGGAAAAGUUUCAGUCUCAUAUUUCAGGAAGAACCUCCCAUAAUGGUCGUUUCGUUCAAAGGCUGCGAAAAAAAGCUUCAUCACUUCACAAGUAUUUUCUCCCCUUCCUCUUAAUCAUUUUUCAAAUUCAACAUAAGAUGUCUAACAUUUGUCUUAACAAAUUAAAUUAGACUUGGCAAUUGAGCUAGUUGAAUAGAUUUUGGGUCAUGUCAAUCUAGAUCGAGCCAUUCAAGUUGCAAAAUUCUUUGAGUAAAUAUGGUAUUAGUGUGUUUAGAUUUAAGUCACUUUAAGUUUGGAUUCGAGUCAUUUUGAGUUCAGGUUAGAAUGGUUUGAAGCCUGAGUUUUUAGGGUCGAGCUAUGAUAGGUUCAUGUCAUUUUAGGUUAUAAUCACUUCAAUUUUUGGUCUUUCAAGUUGUUUGGAUCAUUUCAAGUUGGAGCGAAAAAUUUAUGUUAUGGUGAAAUAAGGUUCGAGUUAGAGGGGUUCAUGUUGUUGAUUCUUUAUAGUAAGUUUAGUUUUGAAUUGAUUAAGUUAGGUUUUAGGUUAAGGUUAAAAUUUAAAAGUUGACUUCUAUAUGUAUUAUUUUGCUAACUUGUUACAACAAUUUAUUAGAAAUAGUACAUUUGAAAUUAUACUUUUCUUUACAAGAUCCAAUUUGAUGCAUUGAUAUUAUGAUAAUAUAGUGUAACUCUAGAACAAGGGACAGUAACAUCUCUGAUUGAAGAAAACGGUAUUGUCAAAGGAGUGCACUACAAAAAUAAGAGUGGUCAAGUGUUGACAGCUUACGCUCCUCUCACAAUUGUAUGCGAUGGUUGUUUCUCAAAUUUGAGACGCUCUCUUUGUUAUCCUAAGGUAAAAAUGCUUAAGAAUUAGUGUUAAAUUAUUCUAGUUAUAGUUUUCAUCUCUCUAAUUUUAUAUUUCAACAUUCUACUUUAAUUUGGCUUAAUUUGAUUCAUUUAUUUUUUUAUAAUGUUUUUAUAAUGUCCAAAAUGAUAACAUCAUUAGUUGCUUUUUGUUAGGCCACAUAAAAUUUCAAUCAACCAUAUUCAACCACAUAAUUUUUUUUCUCCAAAUUAAAGAAAAUGGAUUAAAUUCCAAUUUUAGGAUAAUAGAAGGACUAAAACUUUUAUUAGACUUGUUAAAUUCUAUGCUUAGAGAAAAUAUAUAAAGGUCUAUAUUUUUUUUUCUGCAGGUUGAUAUACCCUCUUAUCUUGUUGGUCUUACACUGACAAACUGUAACCUUCCAAAAAAAAAUUAUGGAGCUAUUAUAUUAGGACACCCUUCACCAAUCAUAUUGUAUCCAGUUAGCAGCACUGAAAUUCGUUGCAUGGUGGAUGUUCCUAGUGAAAAGGUACCUUCAGUUUCCAAUGGUGAAAUGGCAUGUUACUUGAAAACUCAGGUGGCUCCCAAGGUAUAUUUAGAUCUUUCUUUUAUUCAUUCAGUAGGGGAAUUUGGCUUAAUUUAUGGACUAACUGUAUGGCUUAUAAUAUAUUUCAGGUUCUUCCUGAAUUGUACAAUUCCUUUAUGUCUGCAAUAGAGAAGAAGGGUAACAUAAGAAUAAUGCCGGCUAAAAUCAUGGCUGCUGCUCCACACCUGACUCCUGGUGCGCUUCUGAUUGGAGAUGCACUCAACAUGCGGCACGCUAUAACCGGAGGGGGAAUGACUGUUGCUCUGUCUGAUGUCGUAAUACUUAGGGAUCUUCUAAGACCCUUGCAUGAUCUAUCCGAUGCAUUCACCAUUUCCAAAUAUCUCGAAUCCUUUUAUACUCUGAGGAAGGUAUUGUAGUUUCAUGUUUUAUAUGCAUUUUGAAAGUGAAUGGCAAUGAUGAAAACGGUAUAAUUUUGCCCUUUAACUACAUGCAGCCAAUGUCAUCUACAAUAAAUAUACUGGCUAAUGUCCUACAGAAGGUAUUCAGUGCCUCGUCCAAUCCUGCAAUGGAGAAUCUGCAGCACACCUUUUUGGGGUAUUUGAGACUUGGAGGGAUGUUUUCAUAUGGAGCAUCCGCUAUGCUCUCUGGUUUAUGCCCUUCUCCAUUAAGCUUAGCAUUUCAUUUCUUUUCCAUUGCAAUAUAUGGCGUUGGCCGAUUGUUACUUCCAUUUCCUUCUCCCAGGCGUUUGUGGGAUGGGGCUAAAUUCCUUUGGGUCAGUAUCUUUACUAAACAUUUAUAUAUUAACAUGAUAUAAAUAUAUAAGAUCUUAAAUAUGAUUAUGAUAUAGAUUCAUAUUAAUACAAAUAUUUUAUUGUUUUUCAGGUGGCAUCAAGUAUUCUUCUCCCCUACAUAUACUCUGAAGGAAUCAGACAAAUGUUUUUCCCUCUAACUGUGCCAGCAUAUUAUAGAACUCCCCCUAAAAAAGGUCCCAAAAAGAAACUUCAUGCAUUAAUUAGCAGUGUUUGUUGGAACAAUUCUAUGUUCUUAACAAAAUCUCGCAUCUGUUACUAGCAUUCUUAAGUAGGCUGGAUAAUCUUUUGUAUAUGUGAUGUUUAAAAUGGUAAAUAAAUGAGUUGGCUAAAUUGCUUUGGGUCGGUAUCUUUACCAAACAUUUGUAUAAUAACAUGAAUAUAUAAGAUCUUAAAUAUGAUUAUGAGAUAGAAUCAUAUUAAUAAAAAUAUUUUCAUGUUUUUCAGGUGGCAUCAAGUAUUCUUCUCCCCUACAUAGACUCCGAAGGAAUCAGACAAAUGUUCUUCCCCCUAACUGUGCCAGCAUAUUAUAGAACUCCCCCUGAAAAUAAGGACAAAAAAAAAACUUCAUGCAUUAAUUAGCAGUAUUUGUUGGAACAAUUCUAUGUUCAUCUGUUACUUGCAUUCUUAAGUAGGUCUUAAGACAAUUAGACGCAUGUCUAGAGACAAUGACGCAUCAAAGCUAAAAUAAGAAAAUAGGUGAGGUCAAUCUCGAGACAUGAAAGACUUUGUCCCAAGAUAUGCUAAAAUCGAAACAAAAUUCUCAAAAAUGAAAUGUGGCAUGUCUUAACUCUUAAAUAUUCAACCUUAUAUUUUGAUAAAUUAUGAUCCUAUACAUUAAGAAUAGAUGUGUAUGGAUAUGUUAAAUGAAAUAAAUGAAUUGAAAUGAUUACUAUACAUUGACUGAUGUGUUCAAAAUGUAAGUUAGCCUGAGUUGUUUUUAGGGGUGCUCAAAUUUCUAUUAAAACCGAAUUAACUGACCAAACCAAUCUAAUUUGGUUAAUCGGUUGAUUAACCGAUCUAAUUCGGUCAGAGAUCGAUUAAUGAUUUUUUGAAAGUUUAUUUUUUAAUUAAUUCGGUUCACAAUCAGGUAAUUAAUCGAAUUAACUAAAAUAAAUAAUAUAUAUUAGCAGCCCACCCAAGCCGCAGCCACUACCUAGCACAGGCCCCACUAACCCAACCUAAAUAAACAUUUAAAAUCCAAUCCAAUCCACAUAAUUAAUUUAAUUAUAAAAUUAAUUUAUAUUAAAUAAAUAAUUUAAUAAAAAUUGGAAUCCCUAAAAAAACUAAAAAUAACUCAGUAACUCACACCUAUUUCGAUAUUUUUAAUCUCCCAAAAUUCCUAAUCGCAAAUACCUUCCAUUUGCUAAAGAAGAGGUUCGUUUUUCUUUAAAGACAUUUUCUAUCCAUUUACUAAAGAUGUUUAUCUUCGAUAAACCAUCACCGGAGAUCAUGGCCGCCCUUAAAAUUGACGUGAAAGGAGUUACCUUCUCACAUUUAGGGAAAAUUCUCCCAUGCUCUCCAAGCAUGCACACAUGUAUGUUAGGCUACUCUUGUUUACUGUCUUCCAAACUAGAGAUGAUUUGGAGAGCAUCUUCCUCAACAAUAAUAGAAUGAUAUCCCAACACGUGCUUAUUCACUCACCCACCAUUCCUCCCUUUUCUUCUAUAAAUCAUGUUCUUCUUGAUUAUUCGUUCCACGCAUUGUUAUUAAAUCAAUGGCUGAGCAGUACAUAGUUGGAGUUGGAGCUGUUAUAGCCUCUCUUUUGGGGUUCCUUUUCUUGUACUGCAAUUCCCUUAAAAGAUUUAGGGGACUGAGAAAGCUAAAAAGAGCAGCUUCAAUGGAGUUUCCAAAGGGGAACAGUGUAAAAAAAACUGGAAAUAGUGAGGAUGUUGGCACUACGGAUAUUAUCAUAGUCGGCGCCGGUGUUGCCGGUGCUGCUCUUGCCUAUUCUCUUGGAAAGGUCCCAUUUUUUCUCCUUGUUCUUUAUUUUGUUCUACCAUGGUUUUAAUCAUCUUAUAUUCCUCUUCCAGCAUAUAACAAUUACUAGUUUUUUUUUGGGAAAAAAUAUCAUGGUUACCUCUUACUAGGAGUCAAAUUGCAUAUAAAUUAGUCUUUUUAUAUUAGAUCAAGUAGCAAAUUGAUCAUUUCUAUUAAAAAUUUAAUCCAUUUUUACGAUUAAAAUUGGUGUGGUUGACAGAAUAAUCAAAUAGUUAUACAUAGCGCGUUGUACCUUAUGCUAACGUAUAGGGACCAAUUUUUAACUGUAGGAAUUUAUGGACUUUUUAACAGAGGGCUAAUUUGCUCUUUGAUCUAUUGUAUAGGGACUAAUUUGUUCAUUUUUUAGUAGAGGAGACAAAUACAAUCCGAUUCUUAGUACAAGGCCCUCCAUGAUGCUUUUACCAAUUUUUUUGAGGAACAAUUACUAAUUAAGUUUGCAUUUUAUUAUUAUUAUUUAUACACAUUUUAUUAUUAUUGGUUGAAGUAUUAUAAGAUAAUAUUACGAUAAGUUAAUUUAAUUUCACAUGGAUCUAUGUUUAUUUUUUAUAAUAAAUUCAAAUUUUAAUUUGAUGGCAGAAUGAAAUAUUCAAUAUUUUCUUAAACUGUACCGGUUCUGAUUGAGAAUUGAUUAGGGUAUUGGUCCAAAAGAAAUAAAAAAUCACUUGAUUCAUGAAUCAGUAUAAACUGAUUAUAUCAAUGAUUGAAUUUGUUGAUCCAGAUUUUAUAAUUUUUGUUAUUUUUAUUUUUUAAUAAUUUAUUUAACUUAAAUAAGAUAAACAAAUGGAUCGAAAAUUGAUGAUUUGACUAGUUUCACAGUCAAUUUAGAAAACAUCAAAUAUAGUAUUAGUAACUAAGAAUAUAUAUAUCAAUUUUGUAAAAAUAAAACGUCGGUAAUGACAAUAUAUUGUAAAGAAAAAGAGAAAUAAAAAUAAAAAACACACAGAUUUUUACGUGGAAACCCUUUCGGGGAAAAAACCACAGGCAGAGGAGAAGAAAAUUCUCUAUGUCAAAUUCGAUUGAUUACAAGAGAAGUUUCGACUACAUCUAUUUAUAGGUUAAUUCUAAUCAAAGUUAAAUAUAUUAUGUUAACAAAUGCUAAAUAUACUAGACUCAUAAAUACUAAAUCUUCUAGAAAGAAGAUAUAUUUUGUUUAACUUGACUUGCAAGCAAUCUCUUAGAAUUUGGGUCAUACAACUCUAACAAUUUUUUUAUAAUUGGUAAGGCACAAUAUGAAGUACUAAUAAAAAAUAGCAUAUAUAAUCAGAACUUGUAAUGAGAUUAUUAAAAAAAUCUAUAAAUAUGUUAAAUAAAUUUUGUAGGUCCUUUAUUUAUUAAUUUUUAUUUUUUAAAAGAUUUAAUUGAUAAAUUACACCCUAAAAUAUAUCUAAAUCUUUUUUUUUGGUUAAAACUAAUACUUAAACUAUAAUUCAUUUAAUGCAACAUCAAUAAAUAAUUCUGGUUUAUAAUAUUAUUAAUAUUAACAUUAAUUAAAAAUUAUAAUAACAUUUCAAAAAUUCCCUUUUAAAUCAUUUAAAAAUUUUCAAAAUAUGAUUACCCUCAAUCAAACAUUCAUUGAAAAAAUUUAGUUUCAAACUUUUUGCAAUACAUAAGCAAGAAAUAAAUAUCAUUUAAUUUCUAUAAGAAAAUGUGCCAAUUAAACAUUAACGAAAUUCAAUAAGAUGCAGUAUUCAAGCAAAGUCAUGCAUCAAAACAGUGUGACAACAAGAAUUAAUGCAUGGUCACAUUAUCAACAUUUGCAUAUUAAUGAUAUAAGUAAUAAAGCUUAUACAAAAAAAACUUUGUUGAAGAUUAGAUCAAAGAUCCAAGACAAUUGCCUUUCUUGUAAAACCACUAGCGUUUCUUCUGAUCAGUGCUCAAAUAUGGGGAAGGAACCACUCUAGUUGUAGUGGUUGUUGUUGCAACAUAGAAGUUGGGAUGAUUUGCAGUGGUGAUUCACAUCGUUUAAAAAUGGUGUAUAAAAGUCUAAUGCAUUUUGGCACAACUUUGGCAUAUAUCCUAAAGCCCCUUUUCUCUUGUGAUGGAGAGGGCUUUUAUAGAUGAGGGGGUGCUUUUAUAUGGGUGACCUGGGCAGAAGCGCCCAUCCAAAUUCUGCACGAACUUAGAAUCGAGUAAACAAAGUUGAGUCCGUGACACAUUACGAGUGUUAGAAUUGUGUGACCCAAAUUCUAAGAGAUUGCUUGCAAGUCAAGUUCAACAAAAAUAUAUUUUCUUUCUAGAAGAUUUAGUAUUUAUUAGUAUAAUAUAUUUAUCAUUUAUUAGUAUAGUUUAUUUGACUUACUAAUUUAGCCUAUAAAUAGGCUCUUUUACAAUCUUAGAAAUUAGAGACACCCAUUAGAUUAGAACUCAUAACACAUUCAGAGAAUUUUGUGUUUACGUUUUGAGGGUUCUUUGUUUUUCGGGUUUUCGGGGUUUAGUUUUUAUCUCUAUCUUUUGUACUCUUCAUUCUUUUGCCAUUAUAGUAAAAUUAUCUUUGCCCGUCGUUUUUUAUCCUCUUUUGAGGGGUUUUUCCACGUUAAAUUUGUGUGUUCAUCUUCUCAAUUUCUUCUACUAUUUUUACUUGUUCGUUGCUUAAUCGGGACGAUCCUAACAAGUGGUAUCAGAGCUAGUUUAACUUUCAUAGAUCAGCCCGUUCAGAGAUGUCAGCAACAAGGUUUGAAAUUGAGAAGUUCAAUGGUGAGACAAAUUUCAAUCUGUGGCAAGUUCGGAUGAUGGCAAUUCUAGUUCAAAAUGGCUUGAAAAAGGUUGUUACAGGGAAAAAGCCUGAGAAUCUUAAUCAAACAGAAUGGGAAGAGCUUGAUGAAAAGGCCUUAUCUGCAAUCCAGUUGUGCCUCGCGAAUACAGUAUUGCAGGAGGUAUUGAUGGAGAAGACCUCAUUCGCCUUGUGGAAAAGGUUAGAAACUCUUUAUGCGACUAAGUCUCUGGCUAACCGUUUAGUGUUGAAACAACGUCUAUUUACGUUUCGCAUGAACGAAAGUGAGCUUCUUAAAGAUCACAUCAGUCAAUUCAUUACUCUUUUAAAUGAUUUAAAGAACGUUGAGGUUCAUAUUGACGAUGAAGAUCAAGCUAUGCUAUUAUUGUGUUUUUUACCCUCUUCAUACAAGUCUUUCAGGGAGACCCUGAUUUAUGGCAGAGACAAACUCUCGUUCGAAGAUGUGAAGGGUUAUUUGUUGAGUAGAGACAAACUCGACAAUGAGUUUGGUUUGAAUAGCAAAGCAGAUAGGCAAGCUUCCGUUUUGGUAGCAUUAAAGAAACAAGACAAAAGGUGUCGCUAUUGUAAAAAGUUAGGUCACUUCAAAGCAGAUUGUUAUAAACUGCGAAAUAAAAGAGCUGCUGAGAGUAACGAGGAAGAUGUAGCUGGUGCUAAUUUGGUCGAUGAAGGCGAUGAUGAUUUCUUGUUAGUGUCAACGAGCGAUAAUUCCAAGCUUACGUCUGAGUGGAUCCUAGAUUCAGGAUGUUCUUUCCACAUAUGUCCCAAUAGAGAAUGGUUCUCCACAUACAGUUCAGUUGAAGGUGGAGUUGUGCACAUGGGAAACGAUUCAUCUAGUAAAAUAAUCGGUAUUGGUACUAUUAAAAUUAGGAUACACGAUGGGACGAUUAGGACACUCUCAGAUGUCAGGUAUGUACUUGAUUUACGAAAGAAUCUCAUCUCCUUGAGUAUUUUAGACUUGAAAGGAUGCAGAAUCAACAUCGAGUCGAGCGACAUUAAAGUAUCUCGUGGAGCUUUCGUUUUGUUAAAAGGUAAAAGAGCCGGCAGUCUUUAUAUUCUGGAAGGUUCUACAGUGACUAGUGAAAUCGGACGUCCCUCGUCCGUUACGGAGUCAAAGUCAACUCAUUUGAAGCGGAGGCAACUUGGUCAUAAGAGGGAAAAAUGUAUGACCGUUUCGUUGAAGAGAGGUUCUCUUUUGGAUGCAAGUUUUGAAAAGUUAGGGCACUGUAUUCGUGAAAAUCAGACCCGGGUUAGUUUUGAUUUGGCAGUGCACAAGUCGAAGGCUAGAAGUCUUCCAGCUUCUAAGCAUAGAUUCGACUCAGUUAAUUCCCUGCAUAGUUCAAGAUAGGCCCGUGGCGGGUUUUGGCAAAGAUGGCAUUGAAAAAAUUUGUGUCAAGGUGGAGAUUGUUAGAAUUGUGUGACCCAAAUUCUAAGAGAUUGCUUGCAAGUCAAGUUAAACAAAUAUAUAUUUUCUUUCUAGAAGAUUUAGUAUUUAUUAGUAUAAUAUAUUUAGCAUUUAUUAGUAUAGUUUAUUUGACUUACUAAUUUAGCCUAUAAAUAGGCUCUUUUACAAUCUUAGAAAUUAGAGACACCCAUUAGAUUAGAACUCAUAACACAUUCAGAGAAUUUUGUGUUUACGUUUUGAGGGUUCUUUGUUUUUCGGGUUUUCGGGGUUUAGUUUUUAUCUCCAUCUUUUGUACUCUUCAUUCUUUUGUCAUUAUAGUAAAAUUAUCUUUGCCCGUCGUUUUUUAUCCUCUUUUGAGGGGUUUUUCCACGUUAAAUUUGUGUGUUCAUCUUCUCAAUUUCUUCUACUAUUUUUACUUGUUCAUUACUUAAUCGGGACGAUCCUAACAACGAGCUUAAGUAUAUUCUUCGAUAGAAAUUUUUUUAGCUAACUGGAUAUAUAGUAAAAGCAGCAUUAAGUAUUCCUAAAAAGAUUUUUUAUCUUCGAUGAAUCAUCACCAAACACCAUGAUCACCUUUAAAGCGGAUAUUGAAAAUUCUCUCAUGUGUUCUAAACUUACACUCUACCUGUGCGAAUUGCAGAACUCCCCACAGUUAGUGAUUGUCUUUUUACCUUGUCCCUCUUUAGUCCCACAAAAUAAAUAAUUUAAUUUGUCUUUUUCCUUUUUUUUUUUUGUUUCUUUUUGCGAUAAUAAUGCAUCCACGUAACAUCAUCACUGCAUUGCAAAAAGUCCUUAGCUUUCAUACUUGCCAAUGCUUCUGUAUUUUUCCGAAAUUAAAUUGUAAUGAACCAAAAGAAAUCGUCUAUCACUACUUUUAGUUAAAAUUAAAUGAAAUACGAAAGGACACAAAAAGUAAUUGCCUACAUAAAUAUAUUACUUUUGUAGAGGUUAUAUUUAUGAUCUAUAUAGUAUAAUGUUGGGGUAAACUCGAGUUAAGAAACGAAUAAGAAUAAAUAGAGAAAAAUCGGAUACAAAUAUUUACAUGAAAAAACUCUUCUUAAGAGACAAUUCAUGGUUCAGACGACUAGUAAAAAUAGAAAAGAAUAAACGAAUUGAGUUGUGAAAUGAGUUCAUGGAUUUACCAAAUUUUUAGGUCUUUACAAAUUUAAUUUGUCUUUUUCCUUUUUUUGUUUCUUUUUGCAAUAAUAAUGCAUCCUUUCUUUUUUUUUUUCCAUAACGUGUGGUGGAGGUACUUCAGUCAUCAAUCAUAUUUUUGCUGGAGAAAUGUCUUCUUCGUUUCAUUAAUCAUUUAGAGCAUAAGCAAUUACAACUUCAUGAAAAAAAAUGGGUAUUCUUCCACCCACAUAACAUCAUCACUGUAUUGCAAAAAUUCCUUAGCUUUCACACUUGCCAAUGCUUCUGUUAGUUAAAUUUAAAUGAAAUACGAAAGGACACAAAAAAUAAUUGCCUACAUAAAUAUAUUACUUUUGUAGAGGUUAUAUUUAUGAUCUAUAUAGUAUAAUGUUGGGGUAAACUCGAGUUAAGCAACGAAUAAGAAUAAAUAGAGAAAAAUCACAUAUAAAUAUUUACUUAAAAAAUUCAUCUUAAGAGGAUAAAAAAUCACGGGUAAAAAAAACUUCACUAGAAUGGCAAAUAACUGAAGAGGAGUACAAGAUAGAGAAACAAAAAACAAAUCCAAACUCAAAAACACAAAGUUCUUCCGAAAUUCCCAAAAAACUCUCUCUUAAUUAUGUUGUUGAAUUGAUCUCUCUAGUGUUGCUAAAAGCCCUAUUUAUAGGCUGAAAUCCAUGUGAAAAUAUGACUAAAACAUCUCUAGAAUAAUCAAAGUUAAACUAGAAAAAGAUAACAAAGUUCAAUUAAGAGAUACAAUUCGGUUUAGUAGAUAACACAUCGUCACGUCGUGACAUGGCAUAUUGCCUUGUCGAGACGUCAUUCUUCGCAUCGUUAAGACAUUGUCUCUUUCUCGUCCCGACGUUAACCCUAUUUCAUCUAAAAUGUGAGGUAUAGAUGAGAGGGCCAAAUGAGAUUUCCAAACCACAAUAAUUUAAAAUGUUUGAUAUAUUAUAUAUUAUACACAUUAAAAGAUCUUAUUGGUCGAUUGUGGAGAUUAUUAUAUGCCAUUGCACGCUUUUCCUCUAUAAAUGAUGUUCUUCUUGAUUAUUCGUUCCAUACAUUGUUCUUAAAUCAAUGGCUGAGCAGUACAUGGCUGGAGUUGGAGGUGUUAUAGCCUCUCUUUUGGGGUUUGUUUUCUUGUACUGCAGUUCCCUAAUCAGAUUUAGGGGACUGAAGAAGCUAAACAGAGCAGCUUCAAUGGGGUUUCCAAAGAAAAACAGAGUAAACAAAACUGGAAAGAGUGAGGGUGUUGGCACUGCGGAUAUUAUCAUAGUCGGCGCCGGUGUUGCCGGUGCUGCUCUUGCCUAUUCUCUUGGAAAGGUCUCAUAAUUUCUUCUUUUUUCUUUAUUUUGUUCUACCAUUGUUUAAUCAUCUUAUUUUCCUCGUCUAGCAUAUAACAAUUACUAAUUUUUUAGUAAAAGUAUCAUGCUCCUAGUAAAGUUCCUGUACUAAGAUUAGAUUGCAUUUUAUUCCUUUUACUCAAAAAAUGAGUAAAUUAGUUCUUGUAGGAUAGAUUAAAUAGAAAAUUGGUAUUUUCUGUUAAAAAAUUUAUCCAUUUUUACUGUUAAAAAUUGACGUGGCUGAUGAUAUAACCAGUCAGUUACACAUAGUGUAUCAUGUGUACCUCAUGCUAACGUAUAGGGAUCGAUUUUAAAUAGUAGAAAUGAAUAGAAUUUUUAACUGAGAACCAGUUUGCUUUUUAAUAUAAUGAGACUAAUUUACUAUUUUUUAAGUAGAGGAACAAAAUGCAAUCUGAUUCUUAGUACAAUGGCCUCCAUGAUACUUUAACCAAAUUUUUUUGAAAAGAACAAUUACUAAUUAAGUUCGCAUUUUAUUAUUAUUGGUUGAAGUGAUAUAUGGGAAGAUAGUAUUUCGAUAACUUAAUUUAAGUUCACGUGAAUUUGUGUUGAUUUUUUUGUAAUAAAUUCAAAUUUUAAUUUGAUGGUAAAAUGAAAUAAUCAAUGUUGUUUUUGAAAUUAGAUUUAGAGUACUGGCUUGAGCUGGAUUUUAUAUAUUUUAUAUUUUUAAUAAUUUAUUUGAUUUAUAUAAAAUGAACAGAUUGAACCGAAAAUCAAUGAUUUUAUCAAUUUAACUACCGAUACGAUUUAAAAAUAAUAACUAAAAAUAUAUAUUUGACUCUUUUUAAUUGAUAACUAUGUAAUAUCAAGUAGUAGUUAAAAAAUAUAUAAAAUCUAUUUUGACAGUCCAAUUUGAUUUUAUUUAAUAUAAAUGCAUAUAAAUAUCUAAAUUACUGUCAUGUAUACUGCCAGUGAAAUUAAAAAAAAUUCAUAAGCAAGUUAAAAAAGAUUUUGUAUGUCCUUUAUUUAAAUAUAUGCUCAAAGUAGUUAUAGUGUAGAAACAAGCUUGUACAAAGGCGGGGAAAAAUCACGAUAAGAAAUAAUAUCUGAGUAAAAAACAUCCAUGGUAUACACACAUGAUGGAAUUAGAGAUUUACAUGUCACAAUUGCGCAUGAUAAAACUCAAACUUGAGUGCUUAAGAACCCAAAGUCUUUGCAUUAAGCAACAAUGCCAAGAUUUCAUUGGCUUUCAAAUUUGGAUUUCAAUAUGAUACCAUAUGUAACAAUUCUUAACAACUUACAUGUUACAGGAUGGACGUCGAGUACGAGUGAUAGAAAGGGACUUAAAUGCGCCUAAUAGAAUGGCUGGUGAAAGUCUAAUACCAGGGGGCUACUUAAAGUUAAUUGAAUUAGGCCUUGAGGGUAAACAAGAAAAAUCAUAGAUUUAAAUAGUAGAUGUAAUAUAAUGUUAUAAUGUUAUUUCUUUAUAAAAUUACUUAUUUUACUUUUAAGUGUUGGUUCUAUAGACUGUGUAGAUGAGAUUGAUGCGCAACGACUUUUGGGUUAUACUCUAUACAAGGAUGGAAAGGAGGCUCAAGUAUCUUUUCCUUUAGAAAAGUUCCAAUCUCAUGUUGCAGGAAGAACAUUUCAUAAUGGUCGUUUUGUUCAAAGGUUGCGGAAAAAAGUUGCAUCUCUUCACAAGUACUUUCUCUCUCCCUCCUCUCAAUCAUUCUUCAAUUUCAACAUAAGACACCAGAACAUUUUAUCUUAAAGGAUUAAGUGAUUUGUAGUUUGUUUUAAUUCAUUGCUUCUGUUUAGACCUGUCAAUUGAGCUAGUCAAGUCGAUUUUGGGUCAAGUCAACCUAGAUCGAGUCAUUCGAGUUUUACAAUUUUUUGCUUAAAUUUGGUUUUAGUGAGCUUAGAUUCAAGUCAUUUCAGGUUUGGGUUAAAUUCGGGUUUGGACCGUUUCAAGUUUGGAUUUGAGUCCUUUCGGGUUUAGGUCAAUAGGGUUUGAAGCUCAAGUUUUUAGGGUCAGCUCAUGAUAGGUUCAUGUCAUUUUAGGUUACAGUCACCUCGAUUUUUUAUCUUUUCAAGUUGCUUGUUUGGAUCAUUUUGGGUUUGAGUAGCCAAUUUAUGUUAGAGUAAAACGAGGUUCAGUUUAGAGGGAUUCAUGUUGUUGACCAUUUAUAGUCAAAUCAAGGCAAGUUUAGGUUUGAAUUGAUCAAGUUAUAUUUUAGGCUUAAGUUAACAUUGACAAGUUCACUUCUAUUUGUAUUUACUUGUUACAACAAUUUAUUAUAAAGAGUACAUUUGAAAUUAUACUUUUUCUUUAGAAGAUCCAAUUUGAUGUUUUGAUGUUAUGAUAAUGUAGCAUAAGUUUAGAACAAGGGACAGUAACAUCUCUGAUCGAAGAAAAUGGUAUUGUUAAAGGAGUGCAGUACAAAAAUGAGAGUGGUCAAGUGUUGACAGCUUAUGCUUCUCUCACAAUUGUAUGCGAUGGUUGUUUCUCAAAUUUGAGACGCUCUCUUUGCUAUCCUAAGGUGAAAAUGCUUGGGAAUUCUUGUUAAAUUUGUUCAAUUAUGGUUUAUGUCUCUUUAUUAUGCUAAAAUUUUAUAUUUAAUCAUUCUACUUUAUUUUUUAUUUAAUUUAAAUCCAUUUAUUUUUAUAAUGUUAUUGUAUGUCCAAAUUAAUAAUAUUAUUAGUUGCUUUUUAUUAUAAAUGGUACCUACUAAUAACAUUUAGAGAUCAAUUUUUUUUUCCAAAUUAAAGCAAAGAGAUUAAAUUCUAAUUUUAGGAUAAUAGAGGGGCUAAAUCCUAAAUUCUAUGCUUUGAGAAAAUAUAUAAAGGUCUUUAUUAUUUUUGCAGGUUGAUAUACCCUCUUAUUUUGUUGGUUUUAUACUGACGAACUGUAACCUUCCAACUAAAAAUUAUGGAGCUAUUAUAUUAGCACACCCUUCGCCAAUCGUAUUCUCUCCCAUUAGCAGCACUGAAAUUCGUUGCAUGGUGAAUGUUCCUAGUGAAAAGGUACCUUCAGUUUCCAAUGGUGAAAUGGCAUGUUACUUGAAAACUCAGGUGGCUCCCAAGGUAUAUUUAGAUCUUUCUUUUCUUCUUUCAUUAGGGGAAUUUGGCUUAAUUUAUGGACGAACUGUAUGGCUUAUAAUACAUUUCAGGUUCUUCCUGAAUUGUACGAUUCCUUUAUAUCAGCAAUAGAGAAGAAGGGUAACAUAAGAAUAGCGCCGAAUAAAAUUAUGGCUGCUGCUCCACACCUGACUCCUGGUGCGCUUUUGAUUGGAGAUGCACUCAACAUGCGGCACGCUAUAACCGGAGGGGGAAUGACUGUUGCUCUGUCUGAUGUUGUAAUACUUAGGGAUCUUCUAAGACCCUUGCAUGAUCUAUCCGAUGCAUCCACCAUUUCUAAAUAUCUCGAAUCUUUUUACACCCUGAGGAAGGUAUUGUAGCUUCAUGUUUUAUAUGCAUUUUGAAAGUGAAUGGCAAUGAUGAAAACUGUUAAGAAAUGGCUUAAAAUUGGUAGUGGAUUGUUGUUGUUGGUAGUGGGUUGUUGGUGGUAGUGGAUUAGUGGAUGGUUGUUGGUGUCCAUUUUCAACCACAAAUCUUUGCCAAAGUUUUGGACAAUUAUGUCCUUGAACUCUCUUAUAAAUAGAGAGGUUCAUUAGCCAUAUUCAUCAUCCCAAACCAAGAGAGAGCAAAGCUUGUUCUUUGAAAGCUAGGAUUUUAGCUUUCGGGUUUUCUAUAGGGGUUGAGAGUUGUGAGGUUCUCGGGUUGUGUCUUGAGUGUAAAACACUUGUAAUCUUCAUCUUGUUAUAGUGAAAUUUCUUUUCGCCUCUGCCCGUGGACGUAGGCAUUAAAGCCGAACCACGUAAAUCCUUGUGUUCACUUUAUUUUUCGUUCCGGUCAAUUUACUUGUAGUCAUAUCGG